GAUGAAGAACGUAGCGAAAUGCGAUAAGUAGUGUGAAUUGCAGAAUCCCGUGAACCAUCGAGUCUUUGAACGCAAGUUGCGCCCGAAGCCAUUAGGCCGAGGGCACGCCUGCCUGGGCGUCACACGUCGUUGCCCCCCCAUCUACUCCUUCGGGAUUGCGGGGGGCGGAUGAUGGCCUCCCGUGCGCCUCGCCGCGCGGUUGGCAUAAAUGCCAAGUCCUCGGCGACGCACGCCACGACAAUCGGUGGUUGCGAAACCUCGGUUGCCCGUCGUGUGCGGUCGUCGCGCAUCGAGGGCUCGAAAAAAUUGCCGGGUUCCGGCUCGGCUUUCAACGCGACCCCAGGUCAGGCGGGGUUACCCGCUGAAUUUAAGCAUAUCAAUAAGCGGAGGA
Molecule: unclassified non-coding RNA, 391 nt
Filed under: soil metagenome
Description: partial contains 5.8S ribosomal RNA, internal transcribed spacer 2, and large subunit ribosomal RNA
Rfam family: 5.8S ribosomal RNA (bases 1-122)
Source: RNAcentral